CUCCGAUCAGUAGCUCAUCAAUCUUGAACUUAAGCAUAUCAAAAGCCGGAGGAACGC
RNAcentral lists this ribosomal RNA (57 nucleotides) under Helotiales sp. G4. Its description in RNAcentral is "partial 28S ribosomal RNA". Lineage: Eukaryota; Fungi; Ascomycota; Leotiomycetes; Helotiales. The record is from RNAcentral.